Molecule: non-coding RNA, 45 nt
Filed under: Schistosoma mansoni
Lineage: Eukaryota; Metazoa; Platyhelminthes; Trematoda; Strigeidida; Schistosomatidae
Source: RNAcentral
AUCCAGCUGAGGAGUCACAAAUAGGACAAAACGCGUGUCGUGGAU